Molecule: non-coding RNA, 75 nt
Organism: Trichonephila clavipes
Lineage: Eukaryota; Metazoa; Arthropoda; Arachnida; Araneae; Nephilidae
Source: the annotation of a GenBank genome assembly
GUCCCUAUAGCGCAAUGGACAUAGCGCUUUGAACUUCUAAUUCAAAGGUUAUGGAUUCGAAUCCCACUUGGGAUG